RNAcentral lists this unclassified non-coding RNA (157 nucleotides) under Rodentibacter pneumotropicus. RNAcentral describes it as "contains 16S-23S intergenic spacer region". The stretch from base 1 to 127 matches the Rfam family "Bacterial small subunit ribosomal RNA", at positions 1407 to 1533 of the family's 1533-position model. The record is from RNAcentral. Lineage: Bacteria; Pseudomonadati; Pseudomonadota; Gammaproteobacteria; Pasteurellales; Pasteurellaceae.
GGAGUGGNUUGUACCAGAAGUAGAUAGCUUAACCGUNAGGGGGGCGUUUACCACGGUAUGAUUCAUGACUGGGGUGAAGUCGUAACAAGGUAACCGUAGGGGAACCUGCGGUUGGAUCACCUCCUUACCGAACGAGCUAUAGNAAGUGUCCACACAG